This 484-nucleotide ribosomal RNA is filed under the name uncultured bacterium. RNAcentral's name for it is "partial 16S ribosomal RNA". It matches the Rfam family "Bacterial small subunit ribosomal RNA", at positions 30 to 507 of the family's 1533-position model. The record is from RNAcentral.
AUUGAACGCUGGCGGAAUGCUUUACACAUGCAAGUCGAACGGCAGCACGGGGGCAACCCUGGUGGCGAGUGGCGAACGGGUGAGUAAUACAUCGGAACGUGCCCGGUCGUGGGGGAUAACGUAGCGAAAGUUACGCUAAUACCGCAUACGAUCUGAGGAUGAAAGCGGGGGACCUUCGGGCCUCGCGCGAUCGGAGCGGCCGAUGUCAGAUUAGGUAGUUGGUGGGGUAAAGGCCUACCAAGCCGACGAUCUGUAGCUGGUCUGAGAGGACGACCAGCCACACUGGGACGGAGAAACGGCCCAGACUCCUACGGGAGGCAGCAGUGGGGAAUUUUGGACAAUGGGCGCAAGCCUGAUCCAGCCAUUCCGCGUGCAGGACGAAGGCCUUCGGGUUGUAAACUGCUUUUGUAUGGAACGAAAAGGCUCUGGCUAAUACCUGGGGCUCAUGACGGUACCGUAAGAAUAAGCACCGGCUAACUACGUG